RNAcentral lists this ribosomal RNA (514 nucleotides) under uncultured bacterium. RNAcentral's name for it is "partial 16S ribosomal RNA". It matches the Rfam family "Bacterial small subunit ribosomal RNA", at positions 28 to 523 of the family's 1533-position model. The record is from RNAcentral.
GACGAACGCUGGCGGCGUGCUUAACACAUGCAAGUCGAACGGAGAUUUUAGCAAUAGAAUCUUAGUGGCGAACGGGUGAGUAACGCGUAGGCAAUCUGCCUUCUAGAUGGGGACAACAUCCCGAAAGGGGUGCUAAUACCGAAUGUUGUACCGUUUCCGCAUGGAGAUGAUACUAAAGGUGGCCUCUGAAUAUGCUACCGCUAGAAGAUGAGCCUGCGUCUGAUUAGCUAGUUGGAGGGGUAACGGCCCACCAAGGCUUCGAUCAGUAGCCGGUCUGAGAGGAUGAACGGCCACACUGGGACUGAGACACGGCCCAGACUCCUACGGGAGGCAGCAGUGGGGAAUCUUCCGCAAUGGACGAAAGUCUGACGGAGCAACGCCGCGUGAGUGAAGAAGGUUUUCGGAUCGUAAAGCUCUUUCGUUAGGGACGAACGUGCUCUUUGUGAAUAAUGAGGAGUAAUGACGGUACCUAAAUAAGAAGCCACGGCUAACUACGUGCCAGCCGCCGCAGUAA